Molecule: ribosomal RNA, 775 nt
Filed under: uncultured Neocallimastigales
Lineage: Eukaryota; Fungi; Neocallimastigomycota; Neocallimastigomycetes; Neocallimastigales
Description: partial large subunit ribosomal RNA
Rfam family: Eukaryotic large subunit ribosomal RNA
Source: RNAcentral
ACACGCAUGACACACUGCAUAUCAAUAAGCGGAGGAAAAGAAACUAACAAGGAUUCCCUAGUAACGGCGAGUGAAGCGGGAAGAGCUCAAAUUUGAAAUCUUCAAGGUUCUACCUUGACGAAUUGUAGUUUAUAGAAGUGUUUUCUGUUAGUAGAGUGGCAAAAGUUCUUUGGAAUAGGACAUCAUAGAGGGUGAGAAUCCCGUAUUUGGUCAUUCCUUCCUAGCGUUGUGAUACACUUUCAACGAGUCGGAUUGUUUGGGAAUGCAGUCCAAAAUGGGUGGUAAAUUUCAUCUAAAGCUAAAUAUUGGCGAGAGACCGAUAGCGAACAAGUACCGUGAGGGAAAGAUGAAAAGAACUUUGAAAAGAGAGUUAAACAGUACGUGAAAUUGUCAAAAGGGAAGCGUUUGACACCAGUGUUGUUUUUCCGAAAAUCAAUUACGAAUGUUUUAUUUUUGAAGAGUUAUGACUUCAUCGGCUUGCUUCCUUUCUUUACGAAACUUUCUUAAUGCACUUUUCGGUUAACAAGUCAACAUCAAUUUCUUUUGUUGUAAAAGGGUACGAGGAAGGUGGCUUUCUUUUCGGAGAAAGUGUUUAUAGCCUUGUGCCUCUGCAAUCGGAGAGAUUGAGGUCUGCAGCGUAGAUCCUUCGGGGUUAGAUACAGUUUGUGCUAAGUUAUAGCUUUUCAUAGACAACUUGUUGACUAUGUUAGUCUUGUAGCUUACUCGCUGAUGCUAUUUUACCUACGCUUAGGAUGUUGAGCGCAUGUCUCUCUCU